UGGUCAUAACAAAUAGGAACGGUAAAGUAAACUCAAGACUGACGGCCAAUUUCAAUUGUCAAAAAGAUCAGCAAUGCCAUUGUUUUCCAAGUAAACUAAAUUUAAAGCACCGGAAAGAAAAGAGAUCAACCGCCUUUAUAGAUAUCUUGUGGUUUCAAUGCAAGAUUAUCAUCUAAAACAACUUAAUAAGUAAACUUAAAAGCCAAUCACACAAUAACUUU
Molecule: long non-coding RNA, 221 nt
Filed under: Panax ginseng (ginseng)
Lineage: Eukaryota; Viridiplantae; Streptophyta; Magnoliopsida; Apiales; Araliaceae
Description: long non-coding RNA (PGIN_LNC015197)
Source: RNAcentral